AGAAAAUUUUUAUCGAAAAAGUUAAAAUGUCUAAGGCACUGUGCUAGGCGCCAUGUGGAGAGACCAAAAUUAUCACUUGCAAGUGAAGGAACCUAACAUGCUGGGGACAGAGGGUUCAUAUUAGAGGUGUCAACACUUCUAUUUCAUCUGGAUACUGCCUUAGUAGCAGUGAGUCUGGAGAAAAGAAAUGGAUUAUCAAAAGGACUGAGUGUUGCCACAGAAUGGCAAGUUUCAGUCAAGUGUAUUGACUACAACCUCCUGACAUCAACCAAUAUGAGUCUUCAGAGGACCCCACAUUCAGGCAAGUCUUCACCUGACCACUAGUCCUGUCUAUGUCAGCCUGUCAACAGAAUCAUGGACUAAAACGUCACAUG
This is a long non-coding RNA of Lutra lutra (Eurasian river otter), 374 nucleotides long. RefSeq lists it as uncharacterized. The record is from RefSeq and is a predicted model, not a curated record. Lineage: Eukaryota; Metazoa; Chordata; Mammalia; Carnivora; Mustelidae. The transcript is spliced from 3 exons.